RNAcentral lists this small RNA (729 nucleotides) under Pan troglodytes (chimpanzee). RNAcentral describes it as "retained intron". The record is from RNAcentral. Lineage: Eukaryota; Metazoa; Chordata; Mammalia; Primates; Hominidae.
GCCUCCAGGCUGAUUGGGGGCAUCAGCAAAGGGAACGUCAGCCUCUCCACGGCCAUCGUUGCUGACCUGGGCUCGCCUCUGGCACGCAGUCAAGGCAUGGCGGUCAUUGGGGUGGCCUUCUCACUGGGCUUCACCCUGGGCCCUAUGCUCGGAGCCUCCCUGCCCCUGGAAAUGGCACCCUGGUUUGCCCUGCUCUUCGCAGCCUCCGACCUGCUGUUCAUCUUCUGCUUCCUGCCAGAGACGCUGCCCCUGGAGAAACGGGCGCCCUCUAUGGCCCUGGGGUUCCGUGAUGCGGCUGAUCUGCUCAGCCCCCUGGCCCUGCUGCGCUUCUCGGCUGUCGCUCGUGGCCAGGACCCACCCUCUGGAGACAGUAAGGACUCGACCAACCCAAGCGUGGAGCCUGCUCUCCCCUGGGCUUCCCCGGGCGGCGCCCUUCCCUGCUGUGGUCGCCUUCUCAGCACGCGCCACCUCUCCCCAGGGCUCAGCAGCCUGCGCCGCCUGGGCCUAGUCUACUUCCUCUACCUCUUCCUGUUCUCGGGCCUGGAGUACACGCUGAGCUUCCUCACACACCAGCGCUUCCAGUUCAGUAGGCCCUCCUGCUGCUGGUGCCUGCCUUCCUCCUCAUCGGCUGGGGACGUUCUCUGCCCGUGCUGGGCCUGGGGCUGCUGCUCUACUCCUUUGCCGCCGCCGUUGUGGUGCCCUGCCUGUCCUCCGUGGUCGCUGGCUAUG